This 315-nucleotide ribosomal RNA is filed under the name uncultured eukaryote. RNAcentral describes it as "partial 18S ribosomal RNA". It matches the Rfam family "Eukaryotic small subunit ribosomal RNA", at positions 1470 to 1796 of the family's 1831-position model. The record is from RNAcentral.
CCCUUAGACGUUCUGGGCCGCACGCGCGCUACACUGACCAGUGCAACAAGCAUCCGUCCUUGGCCGACAGGCUCGGGCAAUCUUUGAACGCUGGUCGUGAUGGGGAUAGACUUUUGCAAUUUUUUGUCUUCAACGAGGAAUUCCUAGUAAACGCAAGUCAUCAACUUGCAUUGAUUACGUCCCUGCCCUUUGUACACACCGCCCGUCGCACCUACCGAUUGAAUGGUCCGGUGAAGCCUCCGGAUUGGCGCGCACCUCGGUGCCGCCGAGAAGUUGGCUAAACCUUACCAUUUAGAGGAAGGUGAAGUCGUAACA